RNAcentral lists this transfer RNA (71 nucleotides) under Ovis aries (sheep). It matches the Rfam family "tRNA". From Rfam's summary of the family: Transfer RNA (tRNA) molecules are approximately 80 nucleotides in length. Their secondary structure includes four short double-helical elements and three loops (D, anti-codon, and T loops). Lineage: Eukaryota; Metazoa; Chordata; Mammalia; Artiodactyla; Bovidae. The record is from Rfam by way of RNAcentral.
UCCAGAUGGUCCUAGUGGUAGAGAAUCUGACUGUCAUGCAGGAGACCUGGGUUCAAUUCCUGGGUUAGGAA